Molecule: ribosomal RNA, 467 nt
Filed under: uncultured bacterium
Lineage: Bacteria
Description: bacterial SSU rRNA
Rfam family: Bacterial small subunit ribosomal RNA
Source: RNAcentral
AGGACGAACGCUGCGGCGUGCUUAACACAUGCAAGUCGAGCGAGAACCGCAGCGGGGUAACCCACCUGCGGGGAAAGCGGCGAACGGGUGAGUAACACGUGGGCAACCUGCCCCAGGCUCUGGGAUAACCUCGGGAAACCGGGGCUAAUACCGGGUACUCUCAGCGGAUCGCAUGGUCCGGUGAGGAAAGCUCCGGCGGCCUGGGAUGGGCCCGCGGCCUAUCAGCUUGUUGGUGGGGUAACGGCCCACCAAGGCAUCGACGGGUAGUUGGCGUGAGAGCGUGGCCAACCACACUGGGACUGAGACACGGCCCAGACUCCUACGGGGGGCAGCAGUGGGGAAUCUUGGGCAAUGGGCGAAAGCCUGACCCAGCGACGCCGCGUGGGGGAUGAAGGCCUUCGGGUUGUAAACCCCUUUCAGCGGGGACGAAGCGAAAGUGACGGUACCCGCAGAAGAAGCCCCGGCUA